RNAcentral lists this ribosomal RNA (326 nucleotides) under uncultured eukaryote. Its description in RNAcentral is "partial 18S ribosomal RNA". It matches the Rfam family "Eukaryotic small subunit ribosomal RNA", at positions 1470 to 1796 of the family's 1831-position model. The record is from RNAcentral.
CCCUUAGAUGUCCUGGGCCGCACGCGCGCUACACUGAAGGAAUCAGCGUGGCUUUCUCCCUGACCCGAAAGGGUUGGGAAACCCGUUGAAUCUCCUUCGUGAUAGGGAUUGGGGCUUGAAAUUGUUCCCCAUGAACGAGGAAUUCCCAGUAAGCGCGAGUCAUAAGCUCGCGUUGAUUACGUCCCUGCCCUUUGUACACACCGCCCGUCGCUACUACCGAUUGAAUGCUCAGGUGAGCCAUUCGGACUUUCAUCAUGCUGGUUUCCAGUUUUGAUGAAGGAAAGUCUUGCGAACCUUAUCAUUUAGAGGAAGGAGAAGUCGUAACA